This 497-nucleotide ribosomal RNA is filed under the name uncultured bacterium. RNAcentral's name for it is "partial 16S ribosomal RNA". It matches the Rfam family "Bacterial small subunit ribosomal RNA", at positions 28 to 507 of the family's 1533-position model. The record is from RNAcentral.
GACGAACGCUGGCGGCGUGCCUAAUACAUGCAAGUCGAGCGAACGGACGAGAAGCUUGCUUUUCUGAUGUUAGCGGCGGACGGGUGAGUAACACGUGGAUAACCUACCUAUAAGACUGGGAUAACUUCGGGAAACCGGAGCUAAUACCGGAUAAUAUUUUGCACCGCAUGGUUCAAAAGAGAAAGACGGUCUUGCUGUCACUUAUAGAUGGAUCCGCGCUGCAUUAGCUAGUUGGUAAGGUAACGGCUUACCAAGGCAACGAUGCAUAGCCGACCUGCGAGGGUGAUCGGCCACACUGGAACUGAGACGCGGUCCAGACUCCUACGGGAGGCAGCAGUAGGGAAUCUUCCGCAAUGGGCGAAAGCCUGACGGAGCGACGCCGAGUGAGUUAUGAAGGUCUUCGGAUCGUAAAACUCUGUUAUGAGGGGAGAACAUAUGUGUAAGGAACUGAGCACAUCUUGACGGUACCUAAUCAGAAAGCCACGGCUAACUACGUG